AUAAAAGGCAAGUCAAGCUUUUUAGACAAUUCAAAACUAAAUUAAAUAACAGACAGUAUUGUUAUAAUACAAAACUAGAAUAAUGAUGAAAACUACCCGAAUAAUAAUGGCGGUUUGUUUUAUUGAACUAUUAUGUACAACUGUAUUGGGACGUGGUGUUGCUGCUAGUCUUGUUAGUGGUAAUAUAACGGCAAAUAGUGGAUUCAGUCUUAGUUCCGACCCUGAUUCUGGGGGCUUUAGCCUAUCCAGUCCCAGCAUCUUUGAUAACGGUGACGGAUAUAGCAUGUUUGAUCUUGAAAAUCAAUCCACUCGAGUGACCGAACGAAGCAUAUUAUCACUAACAAAUAUGAGCCAAAUAUUCGAUCGAUUGUUUGGUAGACCUGGUAAAUGAUUUUAUAACUUUGUGUGUUGAAAUAAACAAUAUUGUAAUUUGA
Long non-coding RNA from Papilio xuthus (Asian swallowtail), 434 nucleotides. RefSeq lists it as uncharacterized. The record is from RefSeq and is a predicted model, not a curated record. The transcript is spliced from 2 exons. Lineage: Eukaryota; Metazoa; Arthropoda; Insecta; Lepidoptera; Papilionidae.